This 978-nucleotide ribosomal RNA is filed under the name human gut metagenome. RNAcentral describes it as "bacterial LSU rRNA". It matches the Rfam family "Bacterial large subunit ribosomal RNA", at positions 1950 to 2925 of the family's 2925-position model. The record is from RNAcentral.
CCUAAGGUAGCGAAAUUCCUUGUCGGGUAAGUUCCGACCUGCACGAAUGGCGUAACGACUUCCCCACUGUCUCGACCAGGAGCUCGGCGAAAUUGCAGUACGAGUAAAGAUGCUCGUUAAGCGCAGAAGGACGAAAAGACCCCGGGACCUUUACUAUACCUUGGUAUUGGCGUUAGGCGCGGAUUGUGUAGCAUAGGCGGGAGGCUUCGAAGCGGGUGCGCCAGCAUUCGUGGAGCCGCAAGGUGAAAUACCGCUCUGUUCUCGUUUGACGUCUAACCUCGACAAGUCAUCCUUGUCAGGGACAGUGCCUGGCGGGUAGUUCAACUGGGGCGGUUGCCUCCCAAAGAGUAACGGAGGCGCUCAAAGGUCCGCUCAGCCCGGUUGGCAAUCGGGUGUCGAGUGUAAUCGCACAAGCGGGCUUGACUGCGAGGACGACGGUCCGAGCAGGGACGAAAGUCGGAGAUAGUGAUCCGGUGCCGGCGCACGGGCGCGGCAUCGCUCAACGGAUAAAAGGUACCCCGGGGAUAACAGGCUGAUCAUUCCCAAGAGUCCAUAUCGACGGGAUGGUUUGGCACCUCGAUGUCGGCUCGUCGCAUCCUGGGGCUGGAGCAGGUCCCAAGGGUUCGGCUGUUCGCCGAUUAAAGCGGCACGCGAGCUGGGUUCAGAACGUCGUGAGACAGUUUGGUCUCUAUCCUCUGCGCUCGUUGGAAUCCUGAGGAGGCCUGCCCAUAGUACGAGAGGACCUGGGUGGACGAACCUCUGGUAUGCCGGUUGUCGCGCCAGCGGCACGGCCGGUUGGCUACGUUCGGGAGGGAUAACCGCUGAAAGCAUCUAAGCGGGAAGCCUGCUCCAAGAUUAGGAUUCCGUACGGUCUUGAACCGUUGUAGCCCGCAUGUUGAACACGUGUUUGAUAGGCCGGAGGUGGAAGCCCCGUGAGGGGUGGAGCCGACCGGUACUAACGGGCGACGGCGACAUAAC